This is a small nuclear RNA of Phyllostomus discolor (pale spear-nosed bat), 134 nucleotides long. RefSeq annotates it as U11 spliceosomal RNA. The transcript has a single exon. Lineage: Eukaryota; Metazoa; Chordata; Mammalia; Chiroptera; Phyllostomidae. The record is from RefSeq and is a predicted model, not a curated record.
AAAAAUGGCUUCUACCAUGAGCGGAAUAUAUAGGGCAGCUUAAUUGCUCUAUGUGUGGAAUCAACAUCAAGCAAUUUCAGAAACAUAAUUUUUUGGUACCUGGGAAGCUAGUGACCAUUUGUCCUGGUGCCUGC